UGGGGAAUAUUGCACAAUGGAGGGAACUCUGAUGCAGCGACGCCGCGUGAACGAAGAAGGCUUUCGAGUCGUAAAGUUCUUUUAUAUGGGAAGAUAAUGACGGUACCAUAAGAAAAAGCCCCGGCUAACUACGUGCCAGCAGCCGCGGUAAUACGUAGGGGGCUAGCGUUGUCCGGAAUCACUGGGCGUAAAGGGUUCGCAGGCGGAAAUGCAAGUCAGGUGUAAAAGGCAGUAGCUUAACUACUGUAAGCAUUUGAAACUGCAUAUCUUGAGAAGAGUAGAGGUAAGUGGAAUUUUUAGUGUAGCGGUGAAAUGCGUAGGUAUUAAAAAGAAUACCGGUGGCGAAGGCGGCUUACUGGGCUCAUUCUGACACUGAGGAACGAAAGCGUGGGUAGCAAACAGG
This 403-nucleotide ribosomal RNA is filed under the name bacterium. RNAcentral's name for it is "partial 16S ribosomal RNA". It matches the Rfam family "Bacterial small subunit ribosomal RNA", at positions 355 to 776 of the family's 1533-position model. The record is from RNAcentral.